Long non-coding RNA from Glycine soja, 638 nucleotides. RefSeq lists it as uncharacterized. The record is from RefSeq and is a predicted model, not a curated record. The transcript is spliced from 2 exons. Lineage: Eukaryota; Viridiplantae; Streptophyta; Magnoliopsida; Fabales; Fabaceae.
UUAUAAAAGGAGCUGCGACUGUGUACUUGCUUGUAUCGAAUUUUAGGGUUGCCGCCGCCGCCGCUCAUUCAAUGAUAAUAAUCUCUUUAAUUCGUCUCGUUUUACAAAGAAACACGAUGCAAUUAAGAGAAACAAAGGAAUGAUGGUUAACCCAACCAUCGAUUGCGGAUCACUCCGCAACAUGAUUCCUUUCUCUCCUAUGACUGCAGACUCGGGAAGGACAUUAAUCUUGCCCCAGUAAAUGAGCACAGUGGAUAAUACAUGAACUGCAAAAGGUUUCAUCAGCGAGAGUGAAGUGUGCCCAAGUCUGAACACUACAGAAUUUUAGCCAACAGCCAUCAGUGAACUCUUUCAUAGAUAUCCCAAAAGCCACCUCAAAUGUAUGCUUACCUAGAUUAUGACAUAUCAAUCCCACCUUAUGAGAAAAUGCUUUUUUUUGUUGUUGUUGAUUAUGGAAAAGAUAACAACAAAUUAUAUGAUAAAAAAAUUGUGGGUGGGUGGUACUUGUGGAUGGGCAGGAGUGGAGCCACAUCUUUACUAGGCUCUAUGUAACAUAAAAGUUUAAAACCUUUCCGCUAUCAUAUCUGGCUAAUUUAAACAUCAUAAAAGGCAAUAACAAUGUCAAAUUGUCUUGCAAA